This 429-nucleotide ribosomal RNA is filed under the name Bacteroidota bacterium. RNAcentral describes it as "Bacteroidetes bacterium partial 16S ribosomal RNA". It matches the Rfam family "Bacterial small subunit ribosomal RNA", at positions 355 to 776 of the family's 1533-position model. The record is from RNAcentral. Lineage: Bacteria; Pseudomonadati; Bacteroidota.
UAGGGAAUCUUCGGCAAUGGGGGGAACCCUGACCGAGCAACGCCGCGUGAGUGAAGAAGGUUUUCGGAUCGUAAAGCUCUGUUGUUAAGGAAGAACGAGUGUGAGAAUGGAAAGUUCAUACUGUGACGGUACUUAACCAGAAAGGGACGGCUAACUACGUGCCAGCAGCCGCGGUAAUACGUAGGUCCCGAGCGUUGUCCGGAUUUAUUGGGCGUAAAGCGAGCGCAGGCGGUUAGAUAAGUCUGAAGUAAAAGGCAGUGGCUCAACCAUUGUAGGCUUUGGAAACUGUUUAACUCGAGUGCAGAAGGGGAGAGUGGAAUUCCAUGUGUAGCGGUGAAAUGCGUAGAUAUAUGGAGGAACACCGGUGGCGAAAGCGGCUCUCUGGUCUGUAACUGACGCUGAGGCUCGAAAGCGUGGGGAGCGAACAGG